GCAUCAUAGGUCUUACGGUAGUAGCUGCUGAUAUAUGCUUCUAAACCUUGACCUCAAAUUGGAGUAUGCAAGCUUUUAUUUUGCCAGCCUACCCUGCAAUUUUGACUGGCCUACGGGAGGGCUCUGCUGGUACCUUGCAAAUGAAAGUUUCCAAGGAAAUGUUCUCAUUGCCACUUUGGAUUGCAGACAAUGGGAAGAAACUGGCAGGCUCAGAAAGAUUUUUUUUCCUUAGGCUAUGAUUCUUCACCUCUGUGAAAGGUUGCAGCGAAAGGUGAAUGGAAUAGCCUUUCUGAUGCAUGCAUAUAGACUCCUGAAGAAGAAAAAGAGACUGUGCAAGAAAGAUUUAGGUUAGACAUUGGGAAACCCUUCUUCAUAGUGAGAGCCUGAAAGCUCCAGGAGAGAUUGAGCAGAUCAUUUGCCACCAUGACUGGGGCUGCGAGGAAUAACAUGAACAUCACCAAUUCUGGCUUUGGACAAGCAGGUGUAUUUUUGGUUGUCACUACCAACUGCAUUUUCUAGUAAAAUUUGGCAGUGUUUCAUCUCUGACUCUGAGAUGAGCUUCAGCAUCAUAGAAAUGAGGACUGAUCAAGAGAUUCCCCUGGAACAUUCAUUUUGGGCAACAGUUCCUCUGUGUUCUUGCCAUGAAGUUCAAGCGGAUGCGGUGCUACUCUGACUCAGGGCUGAAGCUUUGGGCUGUUCCCAAGUUGCCUACAGUGUCUGUGAGAAAGUGAUGGUCUUGCCAGGUGUAAUGUAUCAUGCUACAAGCACAACACAGCUGAAGCAAUCAAAUAUCAAUGGAGUGACUAGAUCCAAGUUUGAGGAUCCUUACUUAGAGCUGAACACUUACUUGGGUGUAUACUUUGGAGACUUUCUUUUAUCAUCUGCUUCAUAACAGCAAAACCUAAAUGGAAAGUCUGUUGUACCGUGCCAGCUGUACUUAGCACAAAACAUAUUUCUAGCCCUUAAGACUGACUAGCAAGCUGCUCUUGUUAUGAUGCUUUGCUUCCAAUUGCCUACAUCCAGGUUGAAGCUUUUGAUCUGUGAACAUCCCAAAUUAAGAAAUUUCUCCUCAAAAAGAGCGUCUGUGGACAGGCAGACCCUUGUAUUGUCCAUAUCCAUGCCUUUUCAGACAAGGCAUGCUCACGCAGUUCUGCAGAACCACUGUAAUUUUCCUGGUGACUUAUUUUCAAUUUUGGUGUUGGACACUGCAAGCACUUGUUUGCACUGCCCUGCUGAGCAGAGCAAGGGGUGUUGCUAUCAUGGGACCAGAUGAUAGGAAACCUUUCAAGAGUAUUUGUUCCUCACCUCCAAAUAAACGUUCACUCUUUUCAUUCUGUUUUCUACACUUUAUUGUUAGGUUUAAAUCUAUUUUGGAUGGCAGAUUUAUAUUUCUUCAUAGUAAACAUCUAUAAAAAUAUUACGAACAACAAGAAAUUAACAGAAAAAAAAGGAGAAAGCAAUUAUGCUAUGAGUUCAAUGACUGUUUACCAAGACAGAGUUUCAGUUGAGUAGUUCCAGUCUUCAUACGGAAUGACUGCCUUGUGCUGCCUGCAAUAUAUCAAACUUGCUUUCAGCUAAAAGUGUAUACCACUUUCUUUGAUUGUGAGUGCAAAGGUCUUUGUGCUGCAUGAGUAAUAGUAUGAAUGUCUUUGUUUAGAGGAAAAAAGCAAUUCCUCUUAGUAUCAUAAGCUGCUAAGUAAAUGUAAUUAGGAACAUCCAGGCAGUAUGAAGAUCUCCCACCCUGCUAGUACGCAUCAAUUCAUCCAGCCUUGAUUUUGGAAUCUCUCUAGUCCUUCCCCUUUACUGCUUAAGGAGAAAGUAAAGAGAGUACAAGAACAGAUUAUUUAUUUAUUUAUUUAUUUAUUUAUUUGGAGCAAUUGGCAUACAACCAGAACUGCUGCAUCUACAGCGUGCAAUUUCUUGUGAUUUCCAGAAACCUCUUAUAUAUGAUGCACUCUAGGAAGGUAUCUGAUUUUGUGUAUUCAGUGCAUCAGUGUACUAGGCGGCUUUUUUCAUGGAAUUUGUCUCCUUGUACAACUAACAAAGGUAGGAGUUGCAUGGUAAUCAGGAAGCAUUUCAUUCUUGGCCCUGCACUGUGCCCAUUACUACUAGUAGUGUUUCUCCACAUGGUGUUUGUCCCUGAGGUAUUGAAUUGAAGGAUGUGGAAGCCCACUGUUCAGCCUGGCCCCAAGUAGUGAUGAGGAUGUCCCUUGACUUUCCUUCGGUUAUGUCUCCAAUGAGAAAUAUGGCAGGAGAAGAAACACAAUAAAUAAAGAGGAAGGAAGUGCUUCCUUGCCAAGCAGGAUGGUAAAUUUGUAGGAGAGGCUCUGUCUGUUGUGGAUAUAAGCAGUGGAAGACUGCAGUGGAAGAGUGAGAAAUGCUGGAGGCUAACAAUUGGCUUUUACUGCCCUACAGCCUAACAUGAGCUGCAUAGUGAGAAAGGUGUUUCCCAAGCCAAGCACUGUGUGGUACAUGGACCAAGCAAAACCUGACAGAGUGGC
This is a long non-coding RNA of Lagopus muta (rock ptarmigan), 2501 nucleotides long. RefSeq lists it as uncharacterized. The record is from RefSeq and is a predicted model, not a curated record. NCBI's taxonomy places the organism in Eukaryota, Metazoa, Chordata, Aves, Galliformes, Phasianidae. The transcript is spliced from 4 exons.